This 506-nucleotide ribosomal RNA is filed under the name Afroptilum sp. BMNH 704122. RNAcentral describes it as "partial 16S ribosomal RNA". It matches the Rfam family "Bacterial large subunit ribosomal RNA", at positions 1826 to 2606 of the family's 2925-position model. Lineage: Eukaryota; Metazoa; Arthropoda; Insecta; Ephemeroptera; Baetidae. The record is from RNAcentral.
CAUCGCCCAAAGCUCUGUAUUUUGGGUACCGCCUGCCCACUGAUUUAAAUGGCCGCAGUAUUUUGACUGUGCAAAGGUAGCAUAAUCAUUUGUCUUUUAAUUGAAGGCUUGUAUGAAUGGCGUACCGUGGUAAAACCUUUCCCAAAAAUGACUAUUUAAUUUAAUAUGUAAGUUAAAAAGCUUACAUAAUAAUGCAGGACGAGAAGACCCCGUAGAGCUUAAUAAAAUUAACACAAUUUUAUUUAGGAAUUAUUAAAAUGUGAUGUAUAUUUGUUUGGUUGGGGCGACUUGAAGUAAAUUAACACUUUAAAUUAAAACUCUAAUAGAUGGAUAUUUGACCCGGUAGCCGAUUUAAAAAUAAAGCUACCUUGGGGAUAACAGCGUAAUCUAGUUUAAGAGUUCUUAUCAAAAACUAGGAUUGCGACCUCGAUGUUGGAUUAAGAGACAAAUUAAGUGUAGCUGCUUAAUAUUGGAGUCUGUUCGACUUUUAAAUUCUUACAUGAUCU